AGGUCUUCAAUCAGCCACACACAUAUUCAAUCUCUAUGGAUAUUCAUACGAGGCCCUCAAAUCCGAUCAGAGGCCUACGACUUCAUCGGAGUGCUAGUGCCUUUGCAGAAAAUUCCUCUUGAUGGUUGAUGUUGCUGAUAUUCAUGAUCUCUCAGACUCUUUAAGGAAGAUGGAGUAGAGGAGGAAGAGGAAUAAUAAGGAGAUGUUCUCUCUAUUUGUCCCUCGUCCUGAAAUCCCACGCC
This 242-nucleotide long non-coding RNA is filed under the name Elaeis guineensis (African oil palm). Its description in RNAcentral is "long non-coding RNA (EGUI_LNC074553)". Lineage: Eukaryota; Viridiplantae; Streptophyta; Magnoliopsida; Arecales; Arecaceae. The record is from RNAcentral.